GUGCCAGCAGCCGCGGUAAUACAGAGGUCCCGAGCGUUGUUCGGAUUCACUGGGCGUAAAGGGUGCGUAGGCGGUGGGGUCAGUCUGAUGUGAAAGCUCGCAGCUUAACUGCGAAAUGGCAUUGGAUACUAUUCUGCUAGAGGCUUGGAGGGGGGACUGGAAUACUUGGUGUAGCAGUGAAAUGCGUAGAUAUCAAGUGGAACACCAGUGGCGAAGGCGAGUCCCUGGACAAGACCUGACGCUGAGGCACGAAAGCUAGGGGAGCAAACAGGAUUAGAAACCCUCGUAGUCC
Molecule: ribosomal RNA, 292 nt
Filed under: uncultured bacterium
Lineage: Bacteria
Description: partial 16S ribosomal RNA
Rfam family: Bacterial small subunit ribosomal RNA
Source: RNAcentral